CCUACGGGUGGCAGCAGUGGGGAAUAUUGCACAAUGGGGGGAACCCUGAUGCAGCGACGCCGCGUGAGUGAAGAAGUAUUUCGGUACGUAAAGCUCUAUCAGCAGGGAAGAAAAUGACGGUACCUGACUAAGAAGCUCCGGCUAACUACGUGCCAGCAGCCGCGGUAAUACGGAGGGGGCAAGCGUUAUCCGGAUUUACUGGGUGUAAAGGGAGCGUAGGCGGCAGCGCAAGUCAGUAGUGAAAUCCCGAGGCCCAACUCCGGGACUGCUCUGGAAACUGCAAAGCUAGAGUGCAGGAGAGGCAAGCGGAAUUCGUGGUGUAGCGGUGAAAUGCGUAGAUAUUAGGAGGAACACCGGUGGCGAAGGCGGCUUACUGGACUGUAACUGACGCUGAGGCUCGAAGGCGUGGGGAGCAAACAGGAUUAGAUACCCUAGUAGUC
This 440-nucleotide ribosomal RNA is filed under the name uncultured bacterium. RNAcentral describes it as "partial 16S ribosomal RNA". It matches the Rfam family "Bacterial small subunit ribosomal RNA", at positions 338 to 795 of the family's 1533-position model. The record is from RNAcentral.